AUGAACGCUGGCGGCGUGCCUCAUACAUGCAAGUCGAGCGAACGGACGAGAAGCUUGCUUCUCUGAUGUUAGCGGCGGACGGGUGAGUAACACGUGGAUAACCUACCUAUAAGACUGGGAUAACUUCGGGAAACCGGAGCUAAUACCGGAUAAUAUUUUGAACCGCAUGGUUCAAAAGUGAAAGACGGUCUUGCUGUCACUUAUAGAUGGAUCCGCGCUGCAUUAGCUAGUUGGUAAGGUAACGGCUUACCAAGGCAACGAUGCAUAGCCGACCUGAGAGGGUGAUCGGCCACACUGGAACUGAGACACGGGCCAGACUCCUACGGGAGGCAGCAGUAGGGAAUCUUCCGCAAUGGGCGAAAGCCUGACGGAGCAACGCCGCGUGAGUGAUGAAGGUCUUCGGAUCGUAAAACUCUGUUAUUAGGGAAGAACAUAUGUGUAAGUAACUGUGCACAUCUUGACGGUACCUAAUCAGAAAGCCACGGCUAACUACGUG
Molecule: ribosomal RNA, 496 nt
Filed under: uncultured bacterium
Lineage: Bacteria
Description: partial 16S ribosomal RNA
Rfam family: Bacterial small subunit ribosomal RNA
Source: RNAcentral